UGAUUUCCUUCGGGACUGAUUAUUUUGUGACUGAGUGGCGGACGGGUGAGUAACGCGUGGGUAACCUGCCUUGUACAGGGGGAUAACAGUUGGAAACGGCUGCUAAUACCGCAUAAGCGCACGGCAUCGCAUGAUGCAGUGUGAAAAACUCCGGUGGUAUAAGAUGGACCCGCGUUGGAUUAGCUAGUUGGUGAGGUAACGGCCCACCAAGGCGACGAUCCAUAGCCGACCUGAGAGGGUGACCGGCCACAUUGGGACUGAGACACGGCCCAAACUCCUACGGGAGGCAGCAGUGGGGAAUAUUGCACAAUGGGCGAAAGCCUGAUGCAGCGACGCCGCGUGAGCGAAGAAGUAUUUCGGUAUGUAAAGCUCUAUCAGCAGGGAAGAUAAUGACGGUACCUGACUAAGAAGCACCGGCUAAAUACGUGCCAGCAGCCGCGGUAAUACGUAUGGUGUAAGCGUUAUCCGGAUUUACUGGGUGUAAAGGGAGCGCAGGCGGUGCGGCAAGUCUGAUGUGAAAGCCCAGGGCUCAACCCCGGUACUGCAUUGGAAACUGUCGUACUAGAGUGUCGGAGGGGUAAGCGGAAUUCCUAGUGUAGCGGUGAAAUGCGUAGAUAUUAGGAGGAACACCAGUGGCGAAGGCG
RNAcentral lists this ribosomal RNA (644 nucleotides) under uncultured Lachnospiraceae bacterium. RNAcentral's name for it is "bacterial SSU rRNA". It matches the Rfam family "Bacterial small subunit ribosomal RNA", at positions 71 to 723 of the family's 1533-position model. Lineage: Bacteria; Bacillati; Bacillota; Clostridia; Lachnospirales; Lachnospiraceae. The record is from RNAcentral.